Molecule: transfer RNA, 71 nt
Filed under: Loxodonta africana (African savanna elephant)
Lineage: Eukaryota; Metazoa; Chordata; Mammalia; Proboscidea; Elephantidae
Rfam family: tRNA
About the family: Transfer RNA (tRNA) molecules are approximately 80 nucleotides in length.
Source: Rfam by way of RNAcentral
GCAUCGAUGGGUUAGUAGUAGAAUUCUUGCUUUCCCUGCAGGAGACCCAGGUUUGAGUCCUGGCCAGUGCA